GUAGGCCCGUGCCCCUGCUCGCGCUGCAGCCCGUGGAAGGGUUCCGUCCAGCGUAUCCUUCAGAUCUUGCUGUAGGCCUCUGGUGUCUGUGCGCGCGCGGCAGGGGCGGCGGCGGCGACGGCCGGAGGUGUACGGUCAGCGGGUUGCGGAGGAUCGUGCGGGUCGCAAAGGGAAGCCGAGUGCUCCUGCGGCUCCCAGACUGCAACCAGGUGUAAAUCCAAACCGCUUCCAACUCAAGGCAAGUAACAGCCCACGGUGUUCUGGCAGGAAAACAUCAGCUAAGAAAGGAAACUGGGUCCUAUGGCUUGGACUUUCCAACUCUGACAGACCGGCAGGACAGAAACAACUGGUUCAGGAGCCCUUGCCAGCCUCUAGAGAAAUCCCAGAACACUCAGCCCUGAUGACACAUUAAUACCCUGCACAUAUUGGAGACUGCUGACCACGCAUACUCACCAAGCCACAGACUUGUCUUCCACAAGCACGUUCUUACCUCAGCCACAAAGUGCCCAAGCCACAUGUACUAAAGGUUGAAAUCAGAGACAUGUACAGGGUAUUAAACAGAUACCAAGGGGAACAGUUAACUUGAAUAUAGCUUGAAUAGAAAGUCAAAAUCAGCAACAAGUCUACAAUCCAGUGCUGAUAUCAGAUACAAGCUUCAAGGACAACUUUCUGUGUAUGUUUUUUUUUUUUUUUUUGAGACGUAGUCUCGCCCUGUUGCCCAGGCUGGAGUGCAGUGGUGCAAUCUCGGCUCACCACAACCUCUGCCUCCCAGGUUCAAGUGAUUCUCCUGCCUCAGCCUCCCCAGUAGCUGGGAUUAUAGGCGAAUGCCACCAUGCCUGGCUAAUUUUUGUAUUUUUAGUAGAGACGGGGUUUCAGCAUGUUGGCCAGGCCGGUCUCAAACUCCUGACCUUGUGAUCCACCCGUCUCGGCCUCCCAAAGUGCUGGGAUUAUAGGCGUGAGCCACCACUUCUGGCCACAAAUUUCUUUUUGAAGGCUUAUUCCAGUUUUGUGAGGCUAGCAUGAGGUGUAUGCAUUUGCCAGGGGCAAAUUUAUACUGCUGAAUUAACCC
This 1069-nucleotide long non-coding RNA is filed under the name Homo sapiens (human). RNAcentral describes it as "non-protein coding lnc-KANTR-23:7". Lineage: Eukaryota; Metazoa; Chordata; Mammalia; Primates; Hominidae. The record is from RNAcentral.